RNAcentral lists this ribosomal RNA (503 nucleotides) under uncultured bacterium. Its description in RNAcentral is "partial 16S ribosomal RNA". It matches the Rfam family "Bacterial small subunit ribosomal RNA", at positions 30 to 523 of the family's 1533-position model. The record is from RNAcentral.
AUUGAACGCUGGCGGCAGGCUUAACACAUGCAAGUCGAGCGGGGUGAUGGUGCUUGCACUAUCACUUAGCGGCGGACGGGUGAGUAAUGCUUAGGAAUCUGCCUAUUAGUGGGGGACAACAUCUCGAAAGGGAUGCUAAUACCGCAUACGUCCUACGGGAGAAAGCAGGGGAUCACUUGUGACCUUGCGCUAAUAGAUGAGCCCAAGUCGGAUUAGCUAGUUGGUGGGGUAAAGGCCUACCAAGGCGACGAUCUGUAGCGGGUCUGAGAGGAUGAUCCGCCACACUGGGACUGAGACACGGCCCAGACGCCUACGGGAGGCAGCAGAGGGGAAUAUUGGACAAUGGGGGGAACCCUGAUCCAGCCAUGCCGCGCGUGUGAAGAAGGCCUUAUGGUUGUAAGGCACUUUAAGCGAGGAGGAGGCUCUUUUGGUUAAUACCCAAGAUGAGUGGACGUUACUCGCAGAAUAAGCACCGGCUAACUCUGUGCCAGCCGCCGCGGUAA